GUGGGGAAUUUUGGACAAUGGGCGCAAGCCUGAUCCAGCAAUGCCGCGUGCAGGAAGAAGGCCUUCGGGUUGUAAACUGCUUUUGUACGGAACGAAACGGUCUGGGUUAAUACCCUGGACUAAUGACGGUACCGUAAGAAUAAGCACCGGCUAACUACGUGCCAGCAGCCGCGGUAAUACGUAGGGUGCAAGCGUUAAUCGGAAUUACUGGGCGUAAAGCGUGCGCAGGCGGUUUUGUAAGACAGGCGUGAAAUCCCCGGGCUCAACCUGGGAAUUGCGCUUGUGACUGCAAGGCUGGAGUGCGACAGAGGGGGAUGGAAUUCCGCGUGUAGCAGUGAAAUGCGUAGAUAUGCGGAGGAACACCGAUGGCGAAGGCAAUCCCCUGGGCCUGCACUGACGCUCAUGCACGAAAGCGUGGGGAGCAAACAGGAUUAGAAACCCUUGUAGUCC
RNAcentral lists this ribosomal RNA (450 nucleotides) under uncultured bacterium. RNAcentral describes it as "partial 16S ribosomal RNA". It matches the Rfam family "Bacterial small subunit ribosomal RNA", at positions 354 to 796 of the family's 1533-position model. The record is from RNAcentral.